GAGAGACGCUGGCGGCGUGCCUAACACAUGCAAGUCGAGCGAGGUGUAUACACCUAGCGGCGGACGGGUGAGUAACACGUGGGUGACCUGCCUCAAAGUGGGGAAUAGCCUCUCGAAAGGGAGAUUAAUACCGCAUAACAUACGCAUAUUUAACGCUGCGUAUCAAAGGAGAAAUCCGCUUUGAGAUGGGCCCGCGGCGCAUUAGCUAGUUGGAGAGGUAACGGCUCACCAAGGCGACGAUGCGUAGCCGACCUGAGAGGGUGAUCGGCCACAUUGGAACUGAGACACGGUCCAGACUCCUACGGGAGGCAGCAGUGGGGAAUAUUGCACAAUGGGGGAAACCCUGACGCAGCAACGCCGCGUGAGUGAGGAAGGCCUUCGGGUCGUAAAGCUCUGUCAGAUGGGAAAGAAAUGGGUGGGGGCUAAUAUCGCCCAUCCUUGACGGUACCAUCAGAGGAAGCACCGGCUAACUCCGUG
Molecule: ribosomal RNA, 477 nt
Filed under: uncultured bacterium
Lineage: Bacteria
Description: bacterial SSU rRNA
Rfam family: Bacterial small subunit ribosomal RNA
Source: RNAcentral